AGAGUUUGAUCAUGGCUCAGGACGAACGCUGGCGGCGUGCNUAACACAUGCAAGUCGAACGCUAAUCAAACUUAUGAAGUUUCGGCUGAAUAAGUUUGAGGAAAGUGGCGGACGGGUGAGUAACGCGUGGGUAACCUGCCCUGUAGUGGGGGAUAGCCUCGGGAAACCGGGAUUAAUACCGCAUACACUUAUCACUCGCAUGAGAGAUAAGAAAAAGUGCUUUAGCGCUACAGGAUGGACCCGCGUCCCAUUAGCUAGUUGGUGAGAUAAUAGCUCACCAAGGCGACGAUGGGUAGCCGACCUGAGAGGGUGAUCGGCCACACUGGGACUGAGACACGGCCCAGACUCCUACGGGAGGCAGCAGUGGGGAAUAUUGCGCAAUGGGGGAAACCCUGACGCAGCAACGCCGCGUGAGUGAUGAAGGCUUUCGGGUCGUAAAACUCUGUCUUUGGGGAUGAAUAAAUGACAGUACCCAAGGAGGAAGCCCCGGCUAACUACGUGCCAGCAGCCGCGGUAAUACGUAGGGGGCAAGCGUUGUCCGGAAUCACUGGGCGUAAAGGGCGCGUAGGCGGUCUAUUAAGUCAGAUGUGAAAGUCCCAGGGCUCAACCCUGGAAUUGCAUUUGAAACUGAUAGACUUGAGUACUGGAGAGGUAAGUGGAAUUCCUAGUGUAGCGGUGAAAUGCGUAGAUAUUAGGAGGAACCACCAGUGGCGAAGGCGGCUUACUGGACAGUUACUGACGCUGAGGCGCGAAAGCGUGGGGAGCGAACAGGAUUAGAUACCCUGGUAGUCCACGCCGUAAACGAUGAGUGCUAGGUGUCGGGGAGACUCGGUGCCGCAGUUAACACAAUAAGCACUCCGCCUGGGGAGUACGGUCGCAAGACUGAAACUCAAAUGAAUUGACG
This 904-nucleotide ribosomal RNA is filed under the name uncultured bacterium. Its description in RNAcentral is "bacterial SSU rRNA". It matches the Rfam family "Bacterial small subunit ribosomal RNA", at positions 8 to 915 of the family's 1533-position model. The record is from RNAcentral.